This 64-nucleotide transfer RNA is filed under the name Cardiochiles fuscipennis. Its description in RNAcentral is "tRNA-Thr". The record is from RNAcentral. Lineage: Eukaryota; Metazoa; Arthropoda; Insecta; Hymenoptera; Braconidae.
AAAUAAAUAGUUUAAUAAAAACAUUAAUUUUGUAAAUUAAAAAUAAUUAUUUAAUUUUUAUUUA